CCUACGGGUGGCAGCAGUGAGGAAUAUUGGUCAAUGGACGAGAGUCUGAACCAGCCAAGUAGCGUGAAGGAUGACUGCCCUAUGGGUUGUAAACUUCUUUUAUAUGGGAAUAAAAUGUUCCACGUGUGGGAUUUUGUAUGUACCAUAUGAAUAAGGAUCGGCUAACUCCGUGCCAGCAGCCGCGGUAAUACGGAGGAUCCGAGCGUUAUCCGGAUUUAUUGGGUUUAAAGGGAGCGUAGGUGGAUUGUUAAGUCAGUUGUGAAAGUUUGCGGCUCAACCGUAAAAUUGCAGUUGAAACUGGCAGUCUUGAGUACAGCAGAGGUGGGCGGAAUUCGGGGUGUAGCGGUGAAAUGCUUAGAUAUCACGAAGAACUCCGAUUGCGAAGGCAGUUCACUGGACUGCAACUGACACUGAGGCUCGAAAGUGUGGGUAUCAAACAGGAUUAGAUACCCGAGUAGUC
RNAcentral lists this ribosomal RNA (460 nucleotides) under uncultured bacterium. RNAcentral describes it as "partial 16S ribosomal RNA". It matches the Rfam family "Bacterial small subunit ribosomal RNA", at positions 338 to 795 of the family's 1533-position model. The record is from RNAcentral.